Molecule: ribosomal RNA, 207 nt
Filed under: uncultured bacterium
Lineage: Bacteria
Description: partial 16S ribosomal RNA
Rfam family: Bacterial small subunit ribosomal RNA
Source: RNAcentral
CUCGUAGGCGGCCAACUAAGUCGGACGUGAAAUCCCUGGGCUCAACCCAGGAACUGCGUCCGAUACUGGUGGGCUCGAAUCCGGGAGAGGGAUGUGGAAUUCCAGGUGUAGCGGUGAAAUGCGUAGAUAUCUGGAGGAACACCGGUGGCGAAGGCGACAUCCUGGACCGGUAUUGACGCUGAGGCGCGAAAGCCAGGGGAGCAAACG